Small nucleolar RNA from Dioscorea cayenensis subsp. rotundata (Guinea yam), 107 nucleotides. The record is from RefSeq and is a predicted model, not a curated record. Lineage: Eukaryota; Viridiplantae; Streptophyta; Magnoliopsida; Dioscoreales; Dioscoreaceae.
AAUCUGUGUUGUGGGCACCUCCGCAAGAGAUCAUAAAAGCGCUCCCAUGUCUCAAAUAAUAAUUCCAAUUCCAUCUGUACAAACGAUGAUAUCUCAUUAUGAAGCUU